RNAcentral lists this ribosomal RNA (1054 nucleotides) under Acinetobacter baumannii. RNAcentral describes it as "bacterial SSU rRNA". It matches the Rfam family "Bacterial small subunit ribosomal RNA", at positions 113 to 1176 of the family's 1533-position model. The record is from RNAcentral. Lineage: Bacteria; Pseudomonadati; Pseudomonadota; Gammaproteobacteria; Moraxellales; Moraxellaceae.
AUGCUUAGGAAUCUGCCUAUUAGUGGGGGACAACAUCUCGAAAGGGAUGCUAAUACCGCAUACGUCCUACGGGAGAGAGCAGGGGAUCUUCGGACCUUGCGCUAAUAGAUGAGCCUAAGUCGGAUUAACUAGUUGGUGGGGUAAAGGCCUACCAAGGCGACGAUCUGUAGCGGGUCUGAGAGGAUGAUCCGCCACACUGGGACUGAGACACGGCCCAGACUCCUACGGGAGGCAGCAGUGGGGAAUAUUGGACAAUGGGGGGAACCCUGAUCCAGCCAUGCCGCGUGUGUGAAGAAGGCCUUAUGGUUGUAAAGCACUUUAAGCGAGGAGGAGGCUACUUUAGUUAAUACCUAGAGAUAGUGGACGUUACUCGCAGAAUAAGCACCGGCUAACUCUGUGCCAGCAGCCGCGGUAAUACAGAGGGUGCGAGCGUUAAUCGGAUUUACUGGGCGUAAAGCGUGCGUAGGCGGCUUAUUAAGUCGGAUGUGAAAUCCCCGAGCUUAACUUGGGAAUUGCAUUCGAUACUGGUGAGCUAGAGUAUGGGAGAGGAUGGUAGAAUUCCAGGUGUAGCGGUGAAAUGCGUAGAGAUCUGGAGGAAUACCGAUGGCGAAGGCAGCCAUCUGGCCUAAUACUGCGCUAGGUCGAAGCAUGGGAGCAACAGGAUUAGAUCCCUGGUAGUCCAUGCCGUAAACGAUGUCUACUAGCCGUUGGGGCCUUUGAGGCUUUAGUGGCGCAGCUAACGCGAUAAGUAGACCGCCUGGGGAGUACGGUCGCAAGACUAAAACUCAAAUGAAUUGACGGGGGCCCGCACAAGCGGUGGAGCAUGUGGUUUAAUUCGAUGCAACGCGAAGAACCUUACCUGGCCUUGACAUACUAGAAACUUUCCAGAGAUGGAUUGGUGCCUUCGGGAAUCUAGAUACAGGUGCUGCAUGGCUGUCGUCAGCUCGUGCCGGGAGAUGUUGGUUAAGUCCCGCAACGAGGCCAACCUUUUCCUUACUUGCCAGCUUUCGGAUGGGACUUUAAGGAACUGCCAGUGACAACUGGAGGAAGGGGG